AGCUCUACUUACAGGUAGGGAGAACAAUCCAUAUUUCAUGCAUAAAUAAUGUGAUGUGCCAUUGGCAGACAUAAAAACAUAACACAUUUUUAAAGGUCACUACAUAAUUUUCUGAGUUUGCAUACUUGUGAGAAGGAAGAACUUCUAUUCUCUUUUCCUACUGCUAGCUAACCUAAGUUCUGGGCAGGGAGUAGGAUGCAAGUAGGAGAGAGACAGGCCGAGACAGAGAGAGUCGGAGAGACAGAGAGACAC
RNAcentral lists this long non-coding RNA (252 nucleotides) under Monodelphis domestica (gray short-tailed opossum). RNAcentral's name for it is "lncRNA (ENSMODG00000044985.1)". The record is from RNAcentral. Lineage: Eukaryota; Metazoa; Chordata; Mammalia; Didelphimorphia; Didelphidae.